This 1132-nucleotide long non-coding RNA is filed under the name Nicotiana benthamiana. RNAcentral's name for it is "long non-coding RNA (NBEN_LNC024483)". Lineage: Eukaryota; Viridiplantae; Streptophyta; Magnoliopsida; Solanales; Solanaceae. The record is from RNAcentral.
CUCUCACCUCGAAACUAAUAAAAUCAUAAGGCUUGCCUACCCGAAUGUUGCCGGCCUAAUCAUGCUGCUAGUGGACAACAUAAUAAAAAUAAAAUAAAUAAAGUGGAGUAAAAAACUCAUUUUCAGCCCAAUUUCAUUCAAUUAUCUUAUAGUAUUCAAAUUUCGGGCACAAAUCAAUUUAUGGUUAAUAUUGUAAGCAACUAUAUUUGUUUAAGAAAUCAUUCAUACGGAAACGUUUAUCAUUCUAGUACAAAAUAAAACAUCAAAUGCCCACAGUUGGAUAAAUUAGAAUCAAAUGGAAUUUCAUUUUGUAUCCUAACACACAUGGAAGAACAUUCAGAAUUAAUUAAAAAGAAACAAAGUUUAGAACGGACUCACAGAAAGCAAACCUCAAAAACUAGUCACGGGCCAAAAAGUGGACUGCGAUCGGAACUCGGAUCAGCAAGCUCGACGUACGACUGAACAAGACCUUGGACAACGACUCCAACAAAGAAUCUGUAGAAACAGUUAUCCAAACUAAAUUUGAAAACUCAAAACUCGCGGGAAAAGGGCUCGAAAUUAGAUUUUGGACUCUUACUGCUUCCAGCUUUUACUUGUUUUAUUUUCAAUUUGUAUUUCAUUUUGGGCCGAAGGUCGUCAGCAGGUCGAGGCCUGGUUGUCGUCGAUUUUUUCUGCCUUGGUUUCAAAUCCUAAAGGUCUUUUCCGUUGAAGAAGAAGAAACAACGACUGUAGCAGGUCAAAGUAGAUGAGCUCAAGGGUCGUUGGUUUUGGUCUGGUUGUUGGCUGAACGAAAACGGGGGGUUUUCCAUUUGGGUUGCUGCUUGGGUUGAAGAAGAGGAGGUCGAUGUCCCUAGUCGUUGGAGAAGGGAGGGCGACAGUCCUGGAGUGGUCCGGCAGCUGAAGGUGUAGUAUUUUCCAACGGGUCUGGUCUCUUUAGGUUAUUUGGUGAUGGGGCUGCGUGGUGGUGUUGUUGAUGUAUCAAGGGUUCAAAAAUGAGGUCUAUUCAGAUGGAGUGAAGGGGAAGGCGGUGGCGGCAUGGUGGUUCAGGCGAGUUUAGUGGUUAUGGAGUCCAAGGUUUGUGUAUUGUGUUGUUGUUGGAAGAAGAUGAUAUUAGGAUUCUUCUUUAAAGAAG